Molecule: ribosomal RNA, 271 nt
Filed under: uncultured archaeon
Lineage: Archaea
Description: partial 16S ribosomal RNA
Rfam family: Archaeal small subunit ribosomal RNA
Source: RNAcentral
CAGCGUCACGAGUGGCAACCAUAUUUAUUGGGCCUAAAGCGUCCGUAGCCUGUUUGAUAAGUCUUUUGUGAAAUCGUUGAGCUCAACUUAACGUCGUGCAAGAGAUACUGUCAGACUUGGAAUUGGGAAGAGUUAGAGGUAUUCUGGGGGGAGCGGUAAAAUGCUAUAAACCCUGGAGGACCACCAGUGGCGAAAGCGUCUAACUAGAACAACUUCGACGGUGAGGGACGAAAGCCAGGGGAGCAAAACGGAUUAGAUACCCGAGUAGUCU